AUUCGAUUAGAGUUUGAUCAUGGCUCAGGACGAACGCUGGCGGCGUGCCUAAUACAUGCAAGUCGAGCGGACCGACGGGAGCUUGCUCCCUUAGGUCAGCGGCGGACGGGUGAGUAACACGUGGGUAACCUGCCUGUAAGACUGGGAUAACUCCGGGAAACCGGGGCUAAUACCGGAUGCUUGAUUGAACCGCAUGGUUUAAUUAUAAAAGGUGGCUUUUAGCUACCACUUACAGAUGGACCCGCGGCGCAUUAGCUAGUUGGUGAGGUAACGGCUCACCAAGGCAACGAUGCGUAGCCGACCUGAGAGGG
Molecule: ribosomal RNA, 311 nt
Filed under: Bacillus sp. J002
Lineage: Bacteria; Bacillati; Bacillota; Bacilli; Caryophanales; Bacillaceae
Description: bacterial SSU rRNA
Rfam family: Bacterial small subunit ribosomal RNA
Source: RNAcentral